AUUGAACGCUGGCGGCAUGCUUUACACAUGCAAGUCGAACGGUAACAGCACUUCGGUGGCUGACGAGUGGCGAACGGGUGAGUAAUACAUCGGAACGUGCCUAGUAGUGGGGGAUAACUACUCGAAAGAGUAGCUAAUACCGCAUGAGAUCUAAGGAUGACAGCAGGGGACCUUCGGGCCUUGCGCUACUAGAGCGGCUGAUGGCAGAUUAGGUAGUUGGUGGGAUAAAAGCUUACCAAGCCGACGAUCUGUAGCUGGUCUGAGAGGACGACCAGCCACACUGGGACUGGGACACGGCCCAGACUCCUACGGGAGGCAGCAGUGGGGAAUUUUGGACAAUGGGCGCAAGCCUGAUCCAGCAAUGCCGCGUGCAGGAUGAAGGCCUUCGGGUUGUAAACUGCUUUUGUACGGAACGAAAAGCCCUCUUCUAAUACAGGAGGGUCAUGACGGUACCGGAAGAAUAAGCACCGGCUAACUACGUG
RNAcentral lists this ribosomal RNA (482 nucleotides) under uncultured bacterium. RNAcentral's name for it is "partial 16S ribosomal RNA". It matches the Rfam family "Bacterial small subunit ribosomal RNA", at positions 30 to 507 of the family's 1533-position model. The record is from RNAcentral.